RNAcentral lists this microRNA precursor (140 nucleotides) under Oryza sativa (Asian cultivated rice). Its description in RNAcentral is "miR6245 stem-loop (osa-MIR6245)". The record is from miRBase by way of RNAcentral. Lineage: Eukaryota; Viridiplantae; Streptophyta; Magnoliopsida; Poales; Poaceae.
AGUUUUUUUUGAUAGAGCCGACACCUAUACUUAUAUUAUAGGUGUCAGUUCUAGAGAAAAAACUGGCACCAAAAAAACGACACCAAGGUGAACCGACACCUAUAAUAUAAGUAUAGGUGUCGGCUCUAUUAAAAAAACCG